This 253-nucleotide ribosomal RNA is filed under the name uncultured bacterium. Its description in RNAcentral is "partial 16S ribosomal RNA". It matches the Rfam family "Bacterial small subunit ribosomal RNA", at positions 524 to 776 of the family's 1533-position model. The record is from RNAcentral.
GACGGAGGAUGCAAGCGUUAUCCGGAAUGAUUGGGCGUAAAGCGUCCGCAGGUGGCAGUUCAAGUCUGCUGUCAAAGACCGGGGCUUAACUUCGGAAAGGCAGUGGAAACUGAACAGCUAGAGUAUGGUAGGGGCAGAGGGAAUUCCUGGUGUAGCGGUGAAAUGCGUAGAGAUCAGGAAGAACAUCGGUGGCGAAGGCGCUCUGCUGGGCCGCAACUGACACUGAGGGACGAAAGCUAGGGGAGCGAAUGGG